This 384-nucleotide unclassified non-coding RNA is filed under the name uncultured bacterium. RNAcentral's name for it is "contains 16S-23S intergenic spacer region". The record is from RNAcentral.
UCCGGUUUAACACCGGCAGUCUCGUUAGAGUUCCCAGCAUGACCUGAUGGCAACUAACGACAGGGGUUUCGCUCGUUAAGGGACUUAACCCGACAUCUCACGACACGAGCUGACGACAGCCAUGCAACACCUAUAUACGUUCCACCGGUUAAGGUGUCACUCUACUUUCAUAGAGCUAAUCCGUACAUUUCGAGCCCGGGUAAGGUUCUUCGCGUUGCAUCGAAUUAAGCAACAUGCUCCACCGCUUGUGUGAGCCCCCGUCAAUUCCUUUGAGUUUUAACCUUGCGGCCGUACUCCCCAGGCGGCUCACUUCACGCGUUAGCUUCGGUACCAAGGAGUCGACACCUCCCACACCUAGUGCCCAUCGUUUACGGCGUGGACUAC